This 108-nucleotide small RNA is filed under the name Escherichia coli. RNAcentral describes it as "partial RtT sRNA". It matches the Rfam family "RtT RNA", at positions 28 to 130 of the family's 130-position model. Rfam says of the family: This family represents a bacterial cis-regulatory element known as RtT RNA. The exact function of RtT is unknown although it is thought that it may be involved in changing the cellular response in relation to amino acid starvation. Lineage: Bacteria; Pseudomonadati; Pseudomonadota; Gammaproteobacteria; Enterobacterales; Enterobacteriaceae. The record is from RNAcentral.
ACCUCCGGGGGCUGGGAGGUUCGACUCGAGCGAAGCGAGAGAACGUUGCGCCAGCAACGGCCCGCAGGGCGAGCCACGAAGUGGCGAGUAAUCCUCUAUCACCGACCA